This is a non-coding RNA of Punica granatum (pomegranate), 498 nucleotides long. NCBI's taxonomy places the organism in Eukaryota, Viridiplantae, Streptophyta, Magnoliopsida, Myrtales, Lythraceae. The record is from RefSeq and is a predicted model, not a curated record.
CCACCUAACAGCUCGCACACAGAUCAUUCCAAAAAUCAUCGGGAAGAGGACAUAGAUAACGGAUUCAAGGAUCAUCCCGAUGAGAACCAUUGCAGUGGAGAUGAAGUGACUGGACUUCGGGAGUGACAUGCUUUAAUCUCCGCAGAGGCCUUCAUGGACACAUAACCGGAUGACAAUGAGUUGCCUCUAGAUACUUCAUUCCGAUGGUACUGCCAAUGCUUGAAUCGCCCCUUUCUCAUCUAAAGUUACACAUCUAUUCCUUUGACCCAUUUUCUUGUCCGCCUUCUUCCGUUAGGAUGUAUAUAGACUUUACUCUUUCAUCGCCCUCUGCUCCUUUUGGUGCUCUGGAAAUGCAUACAAGGGUCUGGAACCGCCCAUUCAAGCGAAUAAGAGAAAUCCGAAGGCUCCGUUGUAACUUUGAAUUUGUGAAUUAAAAGACUAAAAGUUUUGUGUUAUUUAUACCAUUGUAUCAGCAAAUACUCAGAAUCAGUUUUUCCA